Molecule: non-coding RNA, 84 nt
Organism: Aspergillus pseudotamarii
Lineage: Eukaryota; Fungi; Ascomycota; Eurotiomycetes; Eurotiales; Aspergillaceae
Source: the annotation of a RefSeq genome assembly
GCCGGGCUAGCUCAAUCGGUAGAGCGUGAGACUCUUAGUCUUCACGGCAUCUCAAGGUUGCGGGUUCGACCCCCGCGUUCGGCU